GACGAACUGUCCAAACGUUGUUCGGAAUCACUGGGCUUAAAGGGCGCGUAGGCGGUCGAUCAAGUCAGGGGUGAAAUCCUGCAGCUUAACUGUAGAAGUGCCUUUGAUACUGGUCGUCUCGAGGGAGGUAGGGGUGUGUGGAACUUCCAGUGGAGCGGUGAAAUGCGUUGAUAUUGGAAGGAGCGCCGGAGGCGAAAGCGACGCACUGGACCUCUUCUGACGCUGAGGCGCGAAAGCUAGGGGAGCAAACGGG
Molecule: ribosomal RNA, 253 nt
Filed under: uncultured bacterium
Lineage: Bacteria
Description: partial 16S ribosomal RNA
Rfam family: Bacterial small subunit ribosomal RNA
Source: RNAcentral